CCUCGCUCUGGACUGUACUGGCGCGGCCCUGCCGUAAAACCCCCAACUUCUGAAAAUUUGACCUCGGAUCAGGUAGGAAUACCCGCUGAACUUAAGCAUAUCAAUAAGCGGAGGAAAAGAAACAACAGGGAUUGCCCUANUAACGGCGAGUGAAGCGGCANCAGCUCAAAUUUGAAAGCUGGCUCCGGCCCGCGUUGUAAUUUGCAGAGGAUGCUUCUGGCGAGGUGCCUUCCGAGUUCCCUGGAACGGGACGCCAUAGAGGGUGAGAGCCCCGUAUGGAUGGACACCAAACCUGUGUGAAGCUCCUUCAACGAGUCGAGUAGUUUGGGAAUGCUGCUCUAAAUGGGAGGUAAAUCUCUUCUAAAGCUAAAUACCGGCCAGAGACCGAUAGCGCACAAGUAGAGUGAUCGAAAGAUGAAAAGCACCUUGAAAAGGGGGUUAAACAGUACGUGAAAUUGUUGAAAGGGAAGCGCUUGUGACCAGACUUGCGCCGGGCAGCUCAUCAGGGGUUCUCCCCUGUGCACUCUGCCCGGCUCAGGCCAGCAUCGGUUCUCGUGGGAGGAUAAGAACGGUAGGAAGGUGGCCCCCCUCCGGGGGGGUGUUAUAGCCUGCCGUACGAUACUCCCGUGGGGACCGAGGUUCGCGCUCCGCAAGGAUGCUGGCGUAAUGGUCAUCAGCGACC
RNAcentral lists this ribosomal RNA (682 nucleotides) under Cytospora chrysosperma. RNAcentral describes it as "eukaryotic LSU rRNA". It matches the Rfam family "Eukaryotic large subunit ribosomal RNA", at positions 1 to 649 of the family's 3401-position model. The record is from RNAcentral. Lineage: Eukaryota; Fungi; Ascomycota; Sordariomycetes; Diaporthales; Cytosporaceae.